CCAGUAGUCCAAAUGGAGUCAUUGAUGCAUACUUCAGCUGCGAUAGCUCAAAUGAGUCGUGGGCUGUGUCGUCAACAGCCUCAUCAUCACCAGUGUCUCGAUUCAAAAGAAAUAGAACCCAGGAUCAGCAGAUGAGGGUGCCCUCACUAAAUCGUUUGUUUGUAGAUGUGCUUGGCAGUCCUCACUAAUAUUUACUUGUCCUUUUGUCUACUACAAAACAUGUCAUUAUAACAUUUCUCUAUUUUGCAUAUUAAUUGUAUUAUGCAGUUCUUGAGGCGCAACCUUUUUGUGCUUUACCGAUUAUCAAUGUAUUUCGGGC
RNAcentral lists this unclassified non-coding RNA (319 nucleotides) under Hevea brasiliensis (rubber tree). The record is from RNAcentral. Lineage: Eukaryota; Viridiplantae; Streptophyta; Magnoliopsida; Malpighiales; Euphorbiaceae.